AAUCCCGCGGCUCGGAGCCCAGACCGUGUAAGCCCCUCCCGAGGGAAGCAGAUGGUGGGCACCCAGGCGGCGGCCGCCCUCCCGGCUCACCUGCCUUGCACGUCUGGCGUUGUCCUGAAGCUGCACGCCCGUGGGGCAGGCGCAGGCGUAGAAGGGCUCCAGCGGGACAGCAGGCACAGAUGGGAGCAGCGCGUUGUCCUCCUCACACGCGUGUGGUCUGCGGAAGCAGGCGGGGACACCAUUCGGAACUGACCCUCGACCCCCACUCCCGCCUCGCCCGACGUGGGCAUCCUCCCGCCCCUCCUCCUCCCAAUUUCCUACAAUGAGAAACCCGUCUACAUCAGGGCCCUCCAUGGCCACCUCCCCAUGGAGGCCACCCCAGCCCUCGCUGGCAGGAUCCCAGGACCUGUCCGCCUGGCAGUGGUGCCGCCCUGGGUUGGGGUUCCUAAACAGAGGCCUGUCUUAUCUGUCACGUGCUUGGACCUCAUGGGCUCUGCACAGGCGCUCGAUGGCCACACAGGGCCGAGUCUCUCGAUGCUGAUGACGAGACUUUUGCUCUCCUGGCACAAUGCAACUGAACUGACACUCCCAGCAUCUCACUCUGCCCAGGACAGGAUUGGGGGGGGACCCAUGAAGCGCGAAGUGCUGAAAGUGUUAGUCGCUCAGUUGUGUCCGACUUUCUCCAGGCAAGAACAGUGGAGUGGAUUGCCAGUCUCUUCUCCAGGAAUCUUCCCAACCCAAGGAUUGAACCUAGCUUGCAUUUAAGGACCACGGAGCUCUCCCAGAAGACAAGUCCAGAGGCCCCACCCUGGGACUCUACUUAAAUUCAAAGUUGGGACCUUCAACAGCAUCAAGGCCAAAAUCCACCCACACUCUCUGUGGUCCCCAUGGGACCUGGUGGAGUCCCGUAAGAGCAGGUGGUGGUCCUUGAGGGUGGGUGAACCCAAGUCCCUGGCCCUGCUGGCUGCCUGUCACAGGGCUUUUCACCAUCAGAGACCCUCCACGACCCCAUGGAGAGCCCAGGCUGAGAACUCAGACCUGGAGCAGAUUUUCCAUGAGUAAGUAUGUAAUCUCCACUGGGCCUUGAAAACAGGGCAACCUUCCUUGGGAAUCCUUCUUCCAUCCCUGAGGACAGCCCUGCCCAAAGCAGCCCCCACGCCAGCUCUACAGAGGACCUCUCCCAGCCUGCCCCUCCCAUGCGAAGACACCAGCCUCCCGCGCUCAGCCCGGCCCGGCCCCUGACUUACAAUAAGGCUGUCGCCCGGCUGAGCACUUGAAUAUCCAUGGGCGAGUAGAGAGCGCUAAGGAUCUCCUUCCUCUUGUCUCCAGUCCUCUUGUUACAGGCGUGGAUGGGCGGGUCUGCCAGUCUGUCCAGUACAGAGUGUCUCCAGAGAGCGUCAGGGCAAAGGGGUGCGUCAGACUGCCCUCCACGACCUUCUGCCUGCAGGGGCGGGUGGAGAAGCCAUCACGGGGUGGUCCCCACUGCGUUCCCCUUCUUGUAAGCCUUCCAUCGUCACUGCUGACCCAUCGACAUCACACCGGCUCAUGGAGCGGUGAUGGAGCAGCCUGAGACCCCAGCACCCCAGGAACCCUCCAUCAGGUUGCACCUUUCAGACCCAGCCAACCCCCACCACCCCUGACAAUGACAUGGGCGCCUUGCACACAAUUGCUCCCCAUCCAACCUGAUUCUAGAGUGGGGAUGCCAGCAAAAUACCCACAAGGAAGAAACACGGAAGAGAGGUGGCAAGCCAGAAGCCACAUCUGGAGGCAACACACAGAUGACAAUCACAGCUGUCCUGCCCUAACAGCUGAAUACAACCAGAACAAAAGUAACAUGCCCUUUCCUCUGAAACCAAUCAUUUAUUUACCAAAGCAAAUUAAACUUGCAUCAAUCUGAAAAUUAAAAAAGGUAGUCUCUUCUGUCUAUUAGGGCAUCCCAGGUGGCCCAGUGAUAAAGAAUCCGCCUGCCAAUGCAGGAGACACAGGAGAUGUGGGUUCGAUCCUGGGUCAGGAAGAUCCCUGGAGGAGGAAAUGGCAAGCCACUCCAGUGUUCUUGCCUGGAGAAUCCCAUGGACAGAGGAGCCUGGCAGGCUACAGUCCAUGGGGUAGCAAAGGUCAGACACAACUUAGCGAUGAAGCACCUACAGGGACAGGGAAGAAGAGUUCUGUGUAUUUACAAUACCCAGCAAACAAGAACUUGUUUUUUCGUGAAAUUAUGGAUGCCGUAAUAGAAUCAUAAUUUACAGCUGGUAGCAUGCAAUUACCUGGUUUGAGGACUCUCGCCCCACUGUAGGGUAGGAGGCAGGAGCUGUGGGUGGGUGGCCACCGGCACGUGCUCAGCCCCGUGCAGCGCCCAGGAGAGAGUAAUACUCGAGAGGCGCCACUGGCGAAGACCACACCCUCGUGCUCAGGGUGGAUCUGACCCGAUCGCCUUCCCUGUUUUUUAGGCGCGCCACUUGUGCGUGGGAUCUUUGUUCCCCAGCCAGGAUCGAACCCGAGCUCCUGCAGUGAAGUGCACAGUCCUAACCACUGGAUCGCCACGGAAGUCCAUUCCCUGUUUUCUUGAUGUCACUUUAAAAAAAAUUUACUGAAUACAAAGGAUCAUUAGAGAAUGUGUUCAGUCACUAAGCCAUGUCUGACUCUUUUACCAUCCCAUGGACUGUAGCCUGCCAAGUUCCUCUGUCCAUGGGAUUUCCCAGCCAACCCCCACCACCCCUGACAAUGACAUGGGCGCCUUGCACACACAAUUGCUCCCCAUCCAACCUGAUUCUAGAGUGGGGAUGCCGGCAAAAUACCCACAAGGAAGAAACACGGAAGAGGUGGCAAGCCAGAAGCCACAUCUGGAGGCAACACACAGAUGACAAUCACAGCUGUCCUGCCCUAACAGCUGAAUACAACCAGAACAAAAGUAACAUGCCCUUUCCUCUGAAACCAAUCAUUUAUUUACCAAAGCAAAUUAAACUUGCAUCAAUCUGAAAAUUAAAAAAGGUAGUCUCUUCUGUCUAUUAGGGCAUCCCAGGUGGCCCAGUGAUAAAGAAUCCGCCUGCCAAUGCAGCAGGCGCUUGGAGGCGUGAGUUCGAUCCCUGGUUCAGGAAGACCCCUGGAGAAGGGAAUGGCAGCCCACUGCAAUAUUCUUGCCUGGGAAAUCCCAUGGACCGAGGAGCCCCGCAGGCUACAGUCCAUGGGGUAGCAAAGGUCAGACACAACUUAGCGAUGAAGCACCUACAGGGACAGGGAAGAAGAGUUCUGUGUAUUUACAAUACCCAGCAAACAAGAACUUGUUUUUUCGUGAAAUUAUGGAUGCGGUAAUAGAAUCAUAAUUUACACAGCUGGUAGCAUGCAAUUACCUGGUUUGAGGACUCUCGCCCCACUGUAGGGUAGGAGGCAGGAGCUGUGGGUGGGUGGCCACCGGCACGUGCUCAGCCCCGGUGCAGCGCCCAGGAGAGUAAUACUCGAGGCGCCACUGGCGAGACCACACCCUCGUGCUCAGGGUGGAUCUGACCCGAUCGCCUCUUCCCUGUUUUUUAGGCGCGCCACGCCGCACGUGGGAUCUUUGUUCCCCAGCCAGGGAUCGAACCCGAGCUCCCUGCAGUGAAGUGCACAGUCCUAACCACUGGAUCGCCACGAGUCCAUUCCCUGUUUUCUUGAUGUCACUUUAAAAAAAAUUUACUGAAUACAAAGGAUCAUUAGAGAAUGUGUUCAGUCACUAAGCCAUGUCUGACUCUUUUACCAUCCCAUGGACUGUAGCCUGCCAAGUUCCUCUGUCCAUGGGAUUUCCCAGGCAAGAAUACUGGAGUGGGUUGCGUUUUCUUCUCAGGGAUCUUCCGACCCAGGGAUCAAAUCCUGCAUUGCCGGCAGAUUCUUUACCACUGAGCCACUAGGAAGCCCUCAUAAGAGAACACUAUACCAACAAAUCAGACAACCUAGAGGAAAUGGAUAAAUUCGAGAAGCAUACAAUCUUCCAAGAGUGAAUCAUGAAGAAACAGAAAAUCUGAAUAGACCAAUAACUAGUAACAAAAUUGAGUCAGUGAUCAAUAAACUCCCCACACAGAAGUUCAGAUCCAGAUGGUUUCAUAGGUGAAUUCAACCAAAUAUUUAAAGAGUUAAUACCUAUACCUCUCCAAUUAUUCCAAAAAUAGAAGAGGAAGCAGAGAAUAGUCAUCACCAAAAGAUCAGACACAACAAGGUUGGCAGGUAGAGAAGAGAAGCCCUUGUGCAUUGUUGGCGGGAUGUAAAUUGGUACAGCCAGUAUGGAGAACAGUAUGCAGCUUCCUCAAAAACUAAAAAUAAAACUACCGUACAAUCCAGCAAUUCCAUAUCUGAAUAAGUUCCUAAGAAAAUGAAAACACAAACUUGAAAAGAUGUAAGGAUCCCUGUGCUCAUUGCAACUGUGAUUACAAUGGCCAAUGUAUGGAAGUAACCUGUGUCCAUAAACAGAUGAACUGAGUGAAUAAAGAAAAGAUGGUGUGUGUGUGUGUGAAUAAAAUCCAGCGGAAUACUAUUCAGCCAUAAAAAUAAUGAAAUCUUGUCAUUUGCGGCACCAUGAAUGGACCUGGAAGUAUUAUGCAAAGUGAAAAAGGUCAGAGAGAAAAGCAAAUACCAUAUGAUUUUCUUGACACGUGAAUUCCAGAAGACAAAAGGGAAACAGACUCAGAGAUACAGAGAACAAACAGGUGGUUGCCAGAGGAAGGAUGGGAAACAGACGAAAUAGAUGGAGGAGAUCAGAGGUACAAACUUCCAGCUACAAGAUAAAUCAGUCAUGGGAUUUAUGUAAUGCACACAUAAAGAAUACGGUCAAUAAAACCAUAAUGAGUUUGCUUGGGGAUGGAUGGCUAACUGUUCUUGCUGUGAUCAUUUCAUAAUUGAAUCACGAUGUUUUACACCUGAAAUGAAUACAGUAAUACUGUAUGCUAAUUAUAACUCCAUAAAAAUAUUAAAAGCCCAAACUCAUAGAUACAGAGAACAGACUAGCGGUUGCCAGGGGUGCAGCAGUGGGUGAAAUAGCUGGAAGAGAUCAAAACACACCAUAUUUCCAGAUUUAAGGUAAGUCAGUCCUAGGGUGUAACGUACAGCAUGUACAUUAACAAUACAUAACAAUGUAUAGUUAACAAUAUUGAAUUGUAUUUAAAAGUUGCCAAGAGGCGGAUCUUGUAAGUUCUCAUCACAAGGGAAAAAUUGUAACUAUGUCUAGGGAUAGAACUGGACAUGGAACAACAGACUGCUUCCCAAUAUGAAAAGGAGUACGUCAAGGAGGUAUAUUGUCACCCUGCUUAUUUAACUUAUAUGCAGAGUACAUCAUCAGAAAUGCUGGGCUGGAUGAAGCACAAGCUGGAAUCAAGAUUGCCAGGAGAAAUAUCAAUAACCUCAGAUAUGCAAAUGACACCACCCUUAUGGCAGAAAGUGAAGAAGAACUAAAGAGCCUCUUGAUGAAAGUGAAAGAGGAGACUGAAAAGUUGGCUUAAAGCUCAACAUUCAGAAAACUAAGAUCAUAGCAUCCAGUCCCAUCACUUCAUGGCAAAUAG
Molecule: long non-coding RNA, 5522 nt
Filed under: Bos grunniens (domestic yak)
Lineage: Eukaryota; Metazoa; Chordata; Mammalia; Artiodactyla; Bovidae
Description: lncRNA (ENSBGRG00000009719.1)
Source: RNAcentral